Molecule: ribosomal RNA, 390 nt
Filed under: Tricogena rubricosa
Lineage: Eukaryota; Metazoa; Arthropoda; Insecta; Diptera; Rhinophoridae
Description: partial small subunit ribosomal RNA
Source: RNAcentral
UCUGGGAUUAGAUACCCUGUUAUUUAAAAUGUAAAUUUUGAUACUAAGGUAGUAGUAGUUAUGUUCUUGAAACUUAAAAAAUUUGGCGGUAUUUUAGUCUAUUCAGAGGAACUUGUUCUAUAAUCGAUAAUCCCCGAUGGACCUUACUUAAAUUUGUAAUCAGUUUAUAUACCGUCGUUAUUAGAAUAUUUUAUAAGAAUGAUAAUUUUCAUAAUUUUUAAUAAGAAAAUAUAUCAGAUCAAGGUGUAGCUUAUAUUUAAGUAGAAAUGAGUUACAAUAAAUUUAUUUAAGUGAAUAUAAAUUUGAAAUAUUUAUUGAAGAUGGAUUUGAUAGUAAAAUUAUAGAGAUUAAUAAUUUGAUUUUAGCUCUAAAAUAUGUACAAAUCGCCCG